Molecule: ribosomal RNA, 465 nt
Filed under: Vreelandella stevensii
Lineage: Bacteria; Pseudomonadati; Pseudomonadota; Gammaproteobacteria; Oceanospirillales; Halomonadaceae
Description: partial 16S ribosomal RNA
Rfam family: Bacterial small subunit ribosomal RNA
Source: RNAcentral
CCUACGGGUGGCUGCAGUGGGGAAUAUUGGACAAUGGGCGAAAGCCUGAUCCAGCCAUGCCGCGUGUGUGAAGAAGGCCUUCGGGUUGUAAAGCACUUUCAGUGGGGAAGAAAGCCUUGGGGCUAAUACCCUCGAGGAAGGACAUCACCCACAGAAGAAGCACCGGCUAACUCCGUGCCAGCAGCCGCGGUAAUACGGAGGGUGCGAGCGUUAAUCGGAAUUACUGGGCGUAAAGCGCGCGUAGGCGGUCUGAUAAGCCGGUUGUGAAAGCCCCGGGCUCAACCUGGGAACGGCAUCCGGAACUGUCAGGCUAGAGUGCAGGAGAGGAAGGUAGAAUUCCCGGUGUAGCGGUGAAAUGCGUAGAGAUCGGGAGGAAUACCAGCGGCGAAGGCGGCCUUCUGGACUGACACUGACGCUGAGGUGCGAAAGCGUGGGUAGCAAACAGGAUUAGAUACCCCUGUAGUC